GGCGGGUCUCCUCACAUGGCGAUUCGGAACAACGGGUCAGGGGCGGAAGCCAGCAGCCCACUCCGGAAAACCAGUGCUGAGGGUCAGGCUCGCCGCC
This 97-nucleotide signal recognition particle RNA is filed under the name Neisseria sp. RNAcentral's name for it is "signal recognition particle sRNA small type". It matches the Rfam family "Bacterial small signal recognition particle RNA". From Rfam's summary of the family: The signal recognition particle (SRP) is a universally conserved ribonucleoprotein involved in the co-translational targeting of proteins to membranes. Archaeal SRP consists of a 7S RNA and homologues of the eukaryotic SRP19 and SRP54 proteins. The record is from RNAcentral. Lineage: Bacteria; Pseudomonadati; Pseudomonadota; Betaproteobacteria; Neisseriales; Neisseriaceae.